This 221-nucleotide ribosomal RNA is filed under the name uncultured Chlamydiales CRG58. Its description in RNAcentral is "partial 16S ribosomal RNA". It matches the Rfam family "Bacterial small subunit ribosomal RNA", at positions 66 to 273 of the family's 1533-position model. The record is from RNAcentral. Lineage: Bacteria; Pseudomonadati; Chlamydiota; Chlamydiia; Chlamydiales.
ACGAAGCGUACCUUUGGGUACGCUUAGUGGCGGAAGGGUUAGUAAUACAUGGGUAAUCUACCUUUAACACUGGGAUAACAGCUGGAAACGGUCGCUAAUGCCGGAUAUGGUGGCUGCAGGAGACUGCGGUUCAUUAAAGUAGGGGAUCGAGAGAUCGACCUCGCGGUUAAAGAGGGGCCUAUGGGAUAUCAGCUAGUUGGUAGGGUAAUGGCCUACCAAGG